Long non-coding RNA from Esox lucius (northern pike), 460 nucleotides. The record is from Ensembl. NCBI's taxonomy places the organism in Eukaryota, Metazoa, Chordata, Actinopteri, Esociformes, Esocidae.
UCUUGGUGUGCUCUUGCUACGCCGAGACAAGAGUCAUAUCAGUGGAGAUUUUCUUUCCUGGGACACGGUUACGCUGAACUAUCUGAGCAAGCGAGGACAUUGCUUUUGUGCCAGUUGACUGGUAUGAUGACGUGAUGGUGUACUGGCCCAGGUGAACGUGUGAAACGGGCAGCUGCUAACGAGGAGAAGCAUGAGCCAAACUGGCCAAGAUAUGACGUAAAGGUCGUCAGAACUUGUGACAACUACAAAGACGCCAUCAGGCUAAUGAAUCAAUUUCAGACCGGCUGCAACGCCUCUGAGCUACAGUCUGAGGCAGAGCAGGAGGGAUAGCUGCCAGAGAAAUGAUUCAGGAAGCCAAUCCAUCGUUUUGGGGACUCUGAUGAGAGUGAAGAAGAGCCAGAAAAUUCGGCUGGUGUAUCAGUUGGAGCCUCAAGCCCAAACCAAUUACACUGGCAGAAAA